CAGUCGCCGCGGUAAUACGAGGGGGGCAAGCGUUGUUCGGAAUUAUUGGGCGUAAAGGGUGCGUAGGCGGUUUGGCAAGUUUGGUGUGAAAUCUUCGGGCUCAACUCGAAGUCUGCAUCGAAAACUGCCGGGCUUGAGUAUGGGAGAGGUGAGUGGAAUUUCCGGUGUAGCGGUGAAAUGCGUAGAUAUCGGAAGGAACACCUGUGGCGAAAGCGGCUCACUGGACCAUAACUGACGCUGAUGCACGAAAGCUAGGGGAGCAAACAGGAUUAGAUACCCCGGUAGUCCCUGUCUCUUAUAC
This 301-nucleotide ribosomal RNA is filed under the name uncultured bacterium. RNAcentral's name for it is "partial 16S ribosomal RNA". It matches the Rfam family "Bacterial small subunit ribosomal RNA", at positions 509 to 807 of the family's 1533-position model. The record is from RNAcentral.